CUAACUAUGCAUCCAGUCAAUCCAACUGCAUCAGAAAGCUGGAGUGGGAGGCACGUGAGGAUUUGAGCAUCUGUGCAGCUGCACACACUCCUCUCUUCAGUCUUGAGGCUGUGUGACUCGUCUGUAUCCAUGCAGCCUUGGGCAGACAGCAUCCAGUCUGCUGGUCCCUUUAGCCCUGCUCUUUCUGCUGUGGCUCUAAGAUCAACUAACUGAAGUUUGUUAGGAAAACAGUGCUUUGUAGAAAGGUGUCAGUGGGAAGAAUAAGUGAGUGUACACAUGCCCCUCCCCCAUGCAGCAUUGUCUACUGCAGGAUGAGAGGGAACUUGUUCCUAGCAAAGUAGUGACAUGUGCUGCUGUGGCUGAUGUAUAGUGUCAUGCUGAUACUUCACACAUUAAGAUCUCAAAUUACUUUCCAUUGAGCCAGAUUGUGUAUUCCUUCCUGGAAUUUUUACUGUUACUCAACCACUUCCAACUGAACUGGAUGGGAGGACGCUUAGGCUGUCCUAUUAUCUACAAGGCCAGGAACACUGGAAUUCACUAUGGUCCGUCCCACGCCAACUCAAGGCCGAGGGGAGGGUGCAUUUCUGAAUGAUACUUAAACAAAUAAUGUGACUGUGAGCAGCAGCAUUUGUUACGGAUAUAGCAAAGCAUGAUAAAUGGGGCUAAUAAAUAAAUGAAUAGCAAUGAAA
Long non-coding RNA from Bombina bombina (fire-bellied toad), 689 nucleotides. RefSeq lists it as uncharacterized. NCBI's taxonomy places the organism in Eukaryota, Metazoa, Chordata, Amphibia, Anura, Bombinatoridae. The transcript is spliced from 2 exons. The record is from RefSeq and is a predicted model, not a curated record.